CAGCAGCCGCGGUAAUACGUAGGGUGCGAGCGUUAAUCGGAAUUACUGGGCGUAAAGCGUGCGCAGGCGGUUUUGUAAGACAGGCGUAAAAUCCCCGGGCUCAACCUGGGAAUGGCGCCUGUGACUGCAAAGCUAGAGUGCGGCAGAGGGGGAUGGAAUUCCGCGUGUAGCAGUGAAAUGCGUAGAUAUGCGGAGGAACACCGAUGGCGAAGGCAAUCCCCUGGGCCUGCACUGACGCUCAUGCACGAAAGCGUGGGGAGCAAACAGGAUUAGAGACCCGCGUAGUCCCUGUCUCUUAUAC
Molecule: ribosomal RNA, 301 nt
Filed under: uncultured bacterium
Lineage: Bacteria
Description: partial 16S ribosomal RNA
Rfam family: Bacterial small subunit ribosomal RNA
Source: RNAcentral